Molecule: ribosomal RNA, 257 nt
Filed under: uncultured bacterium
Lineage: Bacteria
Description: partial 16S ribosomal RNA
Rfam family: Bacterial small subunit ribosomal RNA
Source: RNAcentral
UACGUAGGGUGCAAGCGUUGUCCGGAAUUAUUGGGCGUAAAGAGCUCGUAGGCGGUCUGUUGCGUCGGCUGUGAAAAACCCGGGGGCUCAACCCCCGGGCCUGCAGCCGAUACGGGCAGACUAGAGUUCGGCAGGGGGAGACUGGAAUUCCUGGUGUAGCGGUGAAAAUGCGCAGAUAUCAGGAGGAACACCGGUGGCGAAGGCGGGUCUCUGGGCCGAUACUGACGCUGAGGAGCGAAAGCGUGGGAGCGAACAGG